This 75-nucleotide transfer RNA is filed under the name Chloroflexota bacterium. RNAcentral's name for it is "Chloroflexi bacterium tRNA-Arg". It matches the Rfam family "tRNA". From Rfam's summary of the family: Transfer RNA (tRNA) molecules are approximately 80 nucleotides in length. Their secondary structure includes four short double-helical elements and three loops (D, anti-codon, and T loops). Further hydrogen bonds mediate the characteristic L-shaped molecular structure. tRNAs have two regions of fundamental functional importance: the anti-codon, which is responsible for specific mRNA codon recognition, and the 3' end, to which the tRNAs corresponding amino acid is attached (by aminoacyl-tRNA synthetases). tRNAs cope with the degeneracy of the genetic code in two manners: having more than one tRNA (with a specific anti-codon) for a particular amino acid; and 'wobble' base-pairing, i.e. permitting non-standard base-pairing at the 3rd anti-codon position. Lineage: Bacteria; Bacillati; Chloroflexota. The record is from RNAcentral. RNAcentral also lists the same sequence under 2 other names.
GGGCCGUUAGCUCAAUUGGAUAGAGCACCCGCCUUCUAAGCGGGAGGCUUGCGAGUUCGAGCCUCGCACGGCCCG